CUUAUGCCCCCCGCCCCCGCCUCGGCCGCGUCCCCGCGCUCCCGGCAGCCUGCGAGGGGGAGGAGGAGGGGGCGUGGGGUCCGCCGCCGCUGCAGACAACGACAGGAGCCGGGUGCUGGACCCAAACCUGGAGGGGACGCCAGAGCCACGGCGAGGCUUUUGCACGCUGGGGCCCCACCCCACCUCAAGGGGACCACGCCUGCGCCUUAACUCUGGCAGCGCCGCCGGCGCCGCGAGCUAGAAUUUGCUUGGCAUCGAGAGGUGCCCUGGGUGUUGGCAGGCGGCGCCUCCCUCACUUUGGGCCGGACAGUGUGUGUGUGUGUGUGUGUGUGUGUGUGUGUGUGUGUGUCCUUUGGCCUCACCAGAGGCUCCAAAUCGGCCACCCGCACCCAGAGGCAAGGUACUUCUGGGCCCACACAGCUUCUGGAGGCCCAGCUCCCAGGAAUGCUAGGGACCGUUAA
RNAcentral lists this long non-coding RNA (461 nucleotides) under Sus scrofa (pig). RNAcentral describes it as "lncRNA (ENSSSCG00050014352.1)". The record is from RNAcentral. Lineage: Eukaryota; Metazoa; Chordata; Mammalia; Artiodactyla; Suidae.